GUGGGGAUGUGGCUCAAGUGGUAACGCGCUCGCCUAGCACACGUGAGGCACUGGGUUCGAUUCUCAGCACCACA
This 74-nucleotide transfer RNA is filed under the name Marmota monax (woodchuck). RNAcentral's name for it is "tRNA.Ala". The record is from RNAcentral. Lineage: Eukaryota; Metazoa; Chordata; Mammalia; Rodentia; Sciuridae.